GGCCCCAGGGAUCCAAGUCCCCUCACCAUGUCUCUUGCACAGUAAUAUGUGGCCGUGUCCUCGGUCUUCAGGCUGUUCAUCUGCAGAUACAGCGUGUUCUUGGCGUUGUCUCUGGAGAUGGUGAAUCGGCCCUUCACGGAGUCUGCGUACCUUGUGUCACUCCCUCCAUCAGAAAUGUACUGACU
Prionailurus viverrinus (fishing cat) is the source of this 185-nucleotide long non-coding RNA. RefSeq lists it as uncharacterized. The transcript has 7 exons. NCBI's taxonomy places the organism in Eukaryota, Metazoa, Chordata, Mammalia, Carnivora, Felidae. The record is from RefSeq and is a predicted model, not a curated record.